GCAGAAGUGGCUCAGUGGUAGAGCAUCGCCUUGCCAAGGCGAGGGUCGCGGGUUCGAAUCCCGUCUUCUGCUCCA
RNAcentral lists this transfer RNA (75 nucleotides) under delta proteobacterium ML8_F1. Its description in RNAcentral is "tRNA-Gly". It matches the Rfam family "tRNA". From Rfam's summary of the family: Transfer RNA (tRNA) molecules are approximately 80 nucleotides in length. Their secondary structure includes four short double-helical elements and three loops (D, anti-codon, and T loops). Lineage: Bacteria; Deltaproteobacteria. RNAcentral also lists the same sequence under 3 other names. The record is from RNAcentral.